RNAcentral lists this ribosomal RNA (451 nucleotides) under uncultured bacterium. RNAcentral describes it as "bacterial SSU rRNA". It matches the Rfam family "Bacterial small subunit ribosomal RNA", at positions 37 to 473 of the family's 1533-position model. The record is from RNAcentral.
GGAUGAGAUGGCGGCAGGCCUAACACAUGCAAGUCGAGCGGUAACAUUUCAAAAGCUUGCUUUUGAAGAUGACGAGCGGCGGACGGGUGAGUAAUGGCUGGGAACCUGCCCUAACGAGGGGGAUAACAGUUGGAAACGACUGCUAAUACCGCAUAAUGUCUACGGACCAAAGAGGGGGACCUUCGGGCCUCUCGCGUCAGGAUAUGCCUAGGUGGGAUUAGCUAGUUGGUGAGGUAAUGGCUCACCAAGGCGACGAUCCCUAGCUGGUCUGAGAGGAUGAUCAGCCACACUGGAACUGAGACACGGUCCAGACUCCUACGGGAGGCAGCAGUGGGGAAUAUUGCACAAUGGGCGCAAGCCUGAUGCAGCCAUGCCGCGUGUGUGAAGAAGGCCUUCGGGUUGUAAGCACCUUUCAGUCGUGAGGAGGUAGUGUAGUUAAUAGCUGCAUUAC